RNAcentral lists this ribosomal RNA (253 nucleotides) under uncultured bacterium. RNAcentral describes it as "partial 16S ribosomal RNA". It matches the Rfam family "Bacterial small subunit ribosomal RNA", at positions 524 to 776 of the family's 1533-position model. The record is from RNAcentral.
UACGAAGGGGGCUAGCGUUGCUCGGAAUCACUGGGCGUAAAGGGCGCGUAGGCGGCCGAUCAAGUCAGGGGUGAAAGCCUGUGGCUCAACCACAGAAUUGCCUUUGAUACUGUUCGGCUCGAGACCGGAAGAGGUAAGUGGAACUGCGAGUGUAGAGGUGAAAUUCGUAGAUAUUCGCAAGAACACCAGUGGCGAAGGCGGCUUACUGGUCCGGUUCUGACGCUGAGGCGCGAAAGCGUGGGGAGCAGACAGG